RNAcentral lists this ribosomal RNA (444 nucleotides) under uncultured bacterium. RNAcentral describes it as "partial 16S ribosomal RNA". It matches the Rfam family "Bacterial small subunit ribosomal RNA", at positions 354 to 796 of the family's 1533-position model. The record is from RNAcentral.
GUGAGGAAUAUUGCGCAAUGGAGGCAACUCUGACGCAGCCAUGCCGCGUGCAGGAAGAAGGCGCUACGCGUUGUAAACUGCUUUUAACCGGGAAGAAACCCCAGGACGUGUCCUGGGUUGACGGUACCGGAGGAAUAAGCACCGGCUAACUUCGUGUCAGCAGCCGCGGUAAUACGAAGGGUGCAAGCGUUAUCCGGAUUCAUUGGUUUAAAGGGUGCGUAGGCGGAGCGUUAAGUCAGUGGUGAAAUCCUGCAGCUUAACUGUAGACUUGCCAUUGAUACUGGCGCUCUUGAGUGCGCUUGAAGUGGGCGGAAUGUGCCGUGUAGCGGUGAAAUGCUUAGAUAUGGCACAGAACACCAAUUGCGAAGGCAGCUCACUAAGGCGAUACUGACGCUGAGGCACGAAAGCGUGGGGAUCGAACAGGAUUAGAUACCCUAGUAGUCC